GCUCAGGAGCAUUAUCAGAACGA
This 23-nucleotide non-coding RNA is filed under the name Arabidopsis thaliana (thale cress). Lineage: Eukaryota; Viridiplantae; Streptophyta; Magnoliopsida; Brassicales; Brassicaceae. The record is from RNAcentral.